CACUGCUUAUUCUUGUUGAUGUUGUCGUUGAACUUACGCCAAGGUCGAUCCACGAUCUUGUCUUUGUGGAAGCACAACUUAAUGGCGAUCGUAUCCGCGGGUUCAGUGAAAUCGCUCCACUUGACCGUGAUGGAAUCCGCGCCACCGGUCAGUGUCUGCGCGUAUCGGGAUGACAGGUUCGCGGUAAGAAGUCGCGGUACGAGGUGGCUAGUCCCGAAGACAUGGCAGCGAGGCAGUGUGUCCAGCGCAGCACUCAACCGCGCCGCAGGUGCAUAGUUGUUGACUAAUGCGGCCCGGGCGCGGGUUCGAAUGAUAAAGUUACGGCGCCUCGCAGAAGACGAACCGCGGAGACGCACUCACCU
This 362-nucleotide long non-coding RNA is filed under the name Micromonas commoda. RNAcentral's name for it is "long non-coding RNA (MCOM_LNC000022)". Lineage: Eukaryota; Viridiplantae; Chlorophyta; Mamiellophyceae; Mamiellales; Mamiellaceae. The record is from RNAcentral.